UUCCUACGGGAGGCAGCAGUGAGGAAUAUUGGUCAAUGGGAGAGAUCCUGAACCAGCAACGCCGCGUGAAGGAAGAAGGCUUUCGGGUUGUAAACUUCUUUUAAGGGGGAAGAGCAGAAGACGGUACCCCUUGAAUAAGCCACGGCUAACUACGUGCCAGCAGCCGCGGUAAUACGUAGGUGGCAAGCGUUGUCCGGAUUUACUGGGUGUAAAGGGCGUGCAGCCGGAGAGACAAGUCAGAUGUGAAAUCCACAGGCUCAACCUGUGAACUGCAUUUGAAACUGUUUCCCUUGAGUAUCGGAGAG
RNAcentral lists this ribosomal RNA (305 nucleotides) under uncultured bacterium. RNAcentral describes it as "bacterial SSU rRNA". It matches the Rfam family "Bacterial small subunit ribosomal RNA", at positions 336 to 656 of the family's 1533-position model. The record is from RNAcentral.